AGCUCCGCCGCUCCUGGUAUUGCGGGUCCUGUGUGACAAUGGGUCUACCGGCUGGUGGGAUUCGUGUGUCGCAGGCCUCGCUGGGCCGAGUUCGUGACGUCACAAAACAUGAAGGUAGCUGAAUGCAGGGCAGAACUAACAUUUGCUCAAGAUUGGGUCCCAAAAAAGAGCAGUUACUUAGCUGUGUUCCUAUGCAUGAAAGCACAUUCUCUAGAGUUCAAUUUAUUUAGC
Molecule: long non-coding RNA, 231 nt
Organism: Zalophus californianus (California sea lion)
Lineage: Eukaryota; Metazoa; Chordata; Mammalia; Carnivora; Otariidae
Exons: 3
Source: RefSeq, a predicted model, not a curated record